AAGCGGUACGAGAGUUGGGUUCAGAACGUCGUGAGACAGUUCGGUCCCUAUCUGUUGUGGGCGGAGGAGAGUUGAGAGGGGCUUUCACUAGUACGAGAGGACUGUGAAGGACGGACCUCUAGUGUGCCGGUUGUCGUGCCAACGGCAGCGCCGGGUAGCUAUGUCCGGUAGCGAUAAUCGCUGAAAGCAUCUAAGCGAGAAGCGUGCCUCAAGAUAAGCUCUCCCGUAGCAGUAUGCUACCUAAAGACCACUCGUAGACCACGAGUUUGAUAGGCUGGGUGUGGAAGGCGUGUGAGCGCUGUAGCUAACCAGUACUAAUCGGUCGUGCGGUUUAACAUC
RNAcentral lists this ribosomal RNA (339 nucleotides) under Nitrospira sp. RNAcentral describes it as "partial 23S ribosomal RNA". It matches the Rfam family "Bacterial large subunit ribosomal RNA", at positions 2591 to 2925 of the family's 2925-position model. Lineage: Bacteria; Pseudomonadati; Nitrospirota; Nitrospiria; Nitrospirales; Nitrospiraceae. The record is from RNAcentral.